GACGAACGCUGGCGGCGCGCCUAACACAUGCAAGUCGAACGGUGAAGAGGAGCUUGCUCCUCGGAACAGUGGCGGACGGGUGAGUAACACGUGAGCAACCUGGCUCUAAGAGGGGGACAACAGUUGGAAACGACUGCUAAUACCGCAUGACGUAUCGGGAUGGCAUCUUCCUGAUACCAAAGAUUUUAUCGCUUAGAAAUGGGCUCGCGUCUGAUUAGAUAGUUGGCGGGGUAACGGCCCACCAAGUCGACGAUCAGUAGCCGGACUGAGAGGUUGAACGGCCACAUUGGGACUGAGACACGGCCCAGACUCCUACGGGAGGCAGCAGUGGGGGAUAUUGGACAAUGGGGGCAACCCUGAUCCAGCGACGCCGCGUGAGGGAAGAAGGUUUUCGGAUUGUAAACCUCUGUUGACGGAGAAAAAAAUGAUGGUAUCCGUUUAGAAAGCCACGGCUAACUACGUG
Molecule: ribosomal RNA, 463 nt
Filed under: uncultured bacterium
Lineage: Bacteria
Description: partial 16S ribosomal RNA
Rfam family: Bacterial small subunit ribosomal RNA
Source: RNAcentral